RNAcentral lists this ribosomal RNA (1202 nucleotides) under metagenome. Its description in RNAcentral is "bacterial SSU rRNA". It matches the Rfam family "Bacterial small subunit ribosomal RNA", at positions 301 to 1498 of the family's 1533-position model. The record is from RNAcentral.
UGAUCGGCCACACUGGAACUGAAACACGGUCCAGACUCCCACGGGAGGCUGCAGUGGGGAAUUUUGCGCAAUGGACGAAAGUCUGACGCAGCGACGCCGCGUGAGGGAUGAAUGCCUUCGGGUUGUAAACCUCUGUCAAAAAGGAUUAAAGUAUACCUGAUAAUACCAUGUAUAUCUGACUUAACUUUUAAAGGAAGUCCCGGCUAACUACGUGCCAGCAGCCGCGGUAAUACGUAGGGGACAAACAUUACUCGGAUUUACUGGGCGUAAAGGGAGCGUAGGCGGUUUAGUAAGUUAGUGGUGAAUGUCCUCGGCUUAACCGAGGGAUUGCCAUUAAAACUGCUAGACUAGAGGGCAGGAGAGGAAAGUAGAACUCCCAGUGUAGCGGUGGAAUGCGUAGAGAUUGGGAAGAAUACCGGAAGCGAAGGCGGCUUUCUGGACUGUUCCUGACGCUGAGGCUCGAAAGCUAGGGUAGCAAACAGGAUUAGAUACCCUGGUAGUCCUAGCCGUAAACGAUGGAUACUAGACUUUGUGAUUACAGAGUCGUAGUUAACGCGUUAAGUAUCCCGCCUGGGUAGUACGACCGCAAGGUUAAAACUCAAAGGAAUUGACGGGGACCCGCACAAGCAGUGGAGCAUGUGGUUUAAUUCGAUGCAACGCGAAAAACCUUACCUGGGCUUGAACUGUAGGUAUUAGCUACCUGAAAGGGAUAGUGAUCCGACUUUGUCGGAACCUAUAGAGGUGCUGCAUGGCUGUCGGCAGCUCGUGUCGUGAGAUGUUGGGUUAAGUCCCGCAACGAGCGAAACCCUUGUUCUUAGUUGUCAGCGAGUAAUGUCGGAAACUUUAAGAAGACUGCCGGUGAUAAAUCGGAGGAAGGUGGGGGUGACGUCAAGUCAGCAUGGCCUUUAUGUCCAGGGCUACACACGUGCUACAAUGGGUGGUACAGCAGGAAGCAAUACCGCGAGGUGGAGCAAAUCCUCAAAACCAUUCUUAGUUCGGAUUGCAGGCUGCAAUUCGCCUGCAUGAAGCUGGAAUUGCUAGUAAUUGCGGAUCAGCAUUGCCGCAGUGAAUUCGUUCUCGGGUCUUGUACACACCGCCCGUCACAUCACGAAAGCUGGUUAUGCCAGAAGUCAUUCUUCCAACCAUUUGGAGGAAAGUGCCCAAGGCAAGACUGGUGAUUGGGGUGAAGUCGUAACAAGGUA